RNAcentral lists this ribosomal RNA (454 nucleotides) under uncultured bacterium. Its description in RNAcentral is "partial 16S ribosomal RNA". It matches the Rfam family "Bacterial small subunit ribosomal RNA", at positions 41 to 507 of the family's 1533-position model. The record is from RNAcentral.
GGCGUGCUUAACACAUGCAAGUCGAACGGAAAGGCCCUGCUUUUGUGGGGUGCUCGAGUGGCGAACGGGUGAGUAACACGUGAGUAACCUGCCCUUGACUUUGGGAUAACUUCAGGAAACUGGGGCUAAUACCGGAUAGGAGCUCCUGCUGCAUGGUGGGGGUUGGAAAGUUCGGCGGUUGGGGAUGGACUCGCGGCUUAUCAGCUUGUUGGUGGGGUAGUGGCUUACCAAGGCCUUGACGGGUAGCCGGCCUGAGAGGGUGACCGGCCACAUUGGGACUGAGAUACGGCCCAGACUCCUACGGGAGGCAGCAGUGGGGAAUAUUGCACAAUGGGCGGAAGCCUGAUGCAGCAACGCCGCGUGCGGGAUGACGGCCUUCGGGUUGUAAACCGCUUUCGCCUGUGACGAAGCGUGAGUGACGGUAAUGGGUAAAGAAGCACCGGCUAACUACGUG